AUUGAACGCUGGCGGAAUGCUUUACACAUGCAAGUCGAACGGCAGCACGGACUUCGGUCUGGUGGCGAGUGGCGAACGGGUGAGUAAUACAUCGGAACGUGCCCAAUCGUGGGGGAUAACGUAGCGAAAGCGACGCUAAUACCGCAUACGAUCUAAGGAUGAAAGCGGGGGAUCGCAAGACCUCGCGCGAUUGGAGCGGCAGAUGGCAGAUUAGGGAGAUGGUAGGGUAAAGGCCUACCAAGCCGACGAUCUGUAGCUGGUCUGAGAGGAUGAUCAGCCACACUGGGACUGAGACACGGCCCAGACUCCUACGGGAGGCAUCAGUGGGGAAUUUUGGACAAUGGGCGAAAGCCUGAUCCAGCCAUUCCGCGUGCAGGAUGAAGGCCCUCGGGUUGUAAACUGCUUUUGUACAGAACGAAAAGGUUUCUACUAAUACUAGGAGCUCAUGACGGUACUGUAAGAAUAAGCACCGGCUAACUACGUGCCAGCCGCCGCGGUAA
Molecule: ribosomal RNA, 500 nt
Filed under: uncultured bacterium
Lineage: Bacteria
Description: partial 16S ribosomal RNA
Rfam family: Bacterial small subunit ribosomal RNA
Source: RNAcentral